This 457-nucleotide ribosomal RNA is filed under the name Viviparus contectus. Its description in RNAcentral is "partial 16S ribosomal RNA". It matches the Rfam family "Bacterial large subunit ribosomal RNA", at positions 1854 to 2575 of the family's 2925-position model. The record is from RNAcentral. Lineage: Eukaryota; Metazoa; Mollusca; Gastropoda; Architaenioglossa; Viviparidae.
CGACCUGCCCAGUGAAUUAACGUUUAAACGGCCGCGGUACCUUGACCGUGCAAAGGUAGCAUAAUCAAUUGUCUUAUAAUUGAAGACUGGAAUGAAUGGUUAAACGAAAUUAAAGCUGUCUCAUUUAUAGUGUUUAAAAAUUGGCUUUUAAAUGAAGAGAUUUAAAUUUAAUUAAAAGACAAGAAGACCCUAUUGAGCUUUAAAUAAUUUUUAGGUUAUAAAUAUUAUUGUAGAUUUAAAUUUAAGAGAUUUUUUAGUUGGGGCGACUAAGGAACAGGUAAAGCUUCCUGUUAUUAUUAAAACUGAUAUGUUUUGACCCAGUAUAAUCUGGUUGAAAGAGAUAGUUACCCUAGGGAUAACAGCAUAAUCUUCUUUGAGAGUUCUUAUCGAAAGGAGGGGUUGUGACCUCGAUGUUGGACUAAAAUAUCCUAAAAAUGUAGUAGUUUUUGAGGGUUGG